RNAcentral lists this ribosomal RNA (357 nucleotides) under uncultured bacterium. RNAcentral describes it as "bacterial SSU rRNA". It matches the Rfam family "Bacterial small subunit ribosomal RNA", at positions 29 to 366 of the family's 1533-position model. The record is from RNAcentral.
AACGAACGCUGGCGGCGUGCCUAACACAUGCAAGUCGUGCGGGAAAGCGGGGGUAACUCUGCAAGUACAGCGGCGCACGGGUGAGUAACACGUAGGUAACCUACCUCCGGGACCGGGAUAACCUGUCGAAAGACGGGCUAAUACCAGAUAAGACCACCGAGGUUGCGGCUUCGGCGGUAAAAGAUGGCCUCUGCUUGCAAGCUAUCACUUGGAGAUGGGCCUGCGCGCCAUUAGCAGGUUGGGGGGUAAGAGCCCACCAAGGCGGAGAUGGCUAGCUGGUCUGAGAGGAUGGCCAGCCACACGUGGGACUGAGACACGGGCCCAGACUCCUACGGGAGGCAGCAGUGGGGAAUAUUG